Molecule: ribosomal RNA, 1552 nt
Filed under: Staphylococcus aureus
Lineage: Bacteria; Bacillati; Bacillota; Bacilli; Caryophanales; Staphylococcaceae
Also listed under: 4 other names
Description: 16S ribosomal RNA
Rfam family: Bacterial small subunit ribosomal RNA
Source: RNAcentral
UUUAUGGAGAGUUUGAUCCUGGCUCAGGAUGAACGCUGGCGGCGUGCCUAAUACAUGCAAGUCGAGCGAACGGACGAGAAGCUUGCUUCUCUGAUGUUAGCGGCGGACGGGUGAGUAACACGUGGAUAACCUACCUAUAAGACUGGGAUAACUUCGGGAAACCGGAGCUAAUACCGGAUAAUAUUUUGAACCGCAUGGUUCAAAAGUGAAAGACGGUCUUGCUGUCACUUAUAGAUGGAUCCGCGCUGCAUUAGCUAGUUGGUAAGGUAACGGCUUACCAAGGCAACGAUGCAUAGCCGACCUGAGAGGGUGAUCGGCCACACUGGAACUGAGACACGGUCCAGACUCCUACGGGAGGCAGCAGUAGGGAAUCUUCCGCAAUGGGCGAAAGCCUGACGGAGCAACGCCGCGUGAGUGAUGAAGGUCUUCGGAUCGUAAAACUCUGUUAUUAGGGAAGAACAUAUGUGUAAGUAACUGUGCACAUCUUGACGGUACCUAAUCAGAAAGCCACGGCUAACUACGUGCCAGCAGCCGCGGUAAUACGUAGGUGGCAAGCGUUAUCCGGAAUUAUUGGGCGUAAAGCGCGCGUAGGCGGUUUUUUAAGUCUGAUGUGAAAGCCCACGGCUCAACCGUGGAGGGUCAUUGGAAACUGGAAAACUUGAGUGCAGAAGAGGAAAGUGGAAUUCCAUGUGUAGCGGUGAAAUGCGCAGAGAUAUGGAGGAACACCAGUGGCGAAGGCGACUUUCUGGUCUGUAACUGACGCUGAUGUGCGAAAGCGUGGGGAUCAAACAGGAUUAGAUACCCUGGUAGUCCACGCCGUAAACGAUGAGUGCUAAGUGUUAGGGGGUUUCCGCCCCUUAGUGCUGCAGCUAACGCAUUAAGCACUCCGCCUGGGGAGUACGACCGCAAGGUUGAAACUCAAAGGAAUUGACGGGGACCCGCACAAGCGGUGGAGCAUGUGGUUUAAUUCGAAGCAACGCGAAGAACCUUACCAAAUCUUGACAUCCUUUGACAACUCUAGAGAUAGAGCCUUCCUCUUCGGGGGACAAAGUGACAGGUGGUGCAUGGUUGUCGUCAGCUCGUGUCGUGAGAUGUUGGGUUAAGUCCCGCAACGAGCGCAACCCUUAAGCUUAGUUGCCAUCAUUAAGUUGGGCACUCUAAGUUGACUGCCGGUGACAAACCGGAGGAAGGUGGGGAUGACGUCAAAUCAUCAUGCCCCUUAUGAUUUGGGCUACACACGUGCUACAAUGGACAAUACAAAGGGCAGCGAAACCGCGAGGUCAAGCAAAUCCCAUAAAGUUGUUCUCAGUUCGGAUUGUAGUCUGCAACUCGACUACAUGAAGCUGGAAUCGCUAGUAAUCGUAGAUCAGCAUGCUACGGUGAAUACGUUCCCGGGUCUUGUACACACCGCCCGUCACACCACGAGAGUUUGUAACACCCGAAGCCGGUGGAGUAACCUUUUAGGAGCUAGCCGUCGAAGGUGGGACAAAUGAUUGGGGUGAAGUCGUAACAAGGUAGCCGUAUCGGAAGGUGCGGCUGGAUCACCUCCUUU